This is a long non-coding RNA of Mytilus californianus (California mussel), 533 nucleotides long. RefSeq lists it as uncharacterized. NCBI's taxonomy places the organism in Eukaryota, Metazoa, Mollusca, Bivalvia, Mytilida, Mytilidae. The transcript is spliced from 2 exons. The record is from RefSeq and is a predicted model, not a curated record.
ACGUGGGUGUUGGAUUGAAGACAAUAGUUUUUAGUUUUUAUUAGUAUGAUUGUUUUUUAGUUAUGAUUUUUAAUAGAGUAGAAAUCGGUUUUUAUUAAUUACACUUAUAUUUUUGUAAGUUUAUUUUUAUCCUUAAUUUUCAAUACAAUUAUGUUGAAAUAAAAUUACAUUUUCGUCUGCUAAGAUUAGUUAAAGAUAACGAUAUUUUCCAAAGAAUUUAUUACAGUGUAGAAAGUUAAUUGUUAAUCUUAACGGGAUUCCUAAAUUUUAUGACACCUUCAGUAGGUCAGUCUAGUCAUUUAGAGUUCAAAUAAUAGUCGUCUGCAAAUGCAGCUGUGGCGAUUUAAUUACUUUGUUUUGAUCAUCUCUGGAAAUCAGGUUAAAUUAGUGUGAAAUUUUAUGUCUAAUGUUCAGACGUAAACAGUUCGUCUUUAUCAUGCGAUAAGUUAACAUCGAAAACAAUGUUGUGAAAUUGUUAUACGCAAUGAUUGUAAAUAUUGUAAAUAUUGGAUUAAAACGUAGUUAUUAGCAAA